AGUGGUAGAGAGGUACUAUAUGCUCAGUAUGUGUUUACCUGCCGGUGUGGUACUUUGCAGUUCUGAGGCCAGUUUGUUGUUACAUGAGAGAGGAAUUCUUCUUUUCCUUUAUCUGACGUGAACACACCGACUUGUGCAGUUCAGCAUCCUGUUCCAAAACGGAACCAGUAACAAGUAACUCAAAAUCGUUGUAGUCUGCUGUAGUGGAUCCAUUUCAAUGUCCUGAAUCCUGCUGAAAGAGGUCAAGAAAUGGGGAGCAUAAUGACAGGAAGGAAAGAAAUGCAGGAGGAAGUUGAACUAUCCUUCAUGGAGAAUGUUGAAACAUGGAACAUAAAAACUGCGCUGCAGUGCUGUGCCAUACUCAUUUGGAUGUGAUAUGUCGACUUGUUGUAGCUUGGAUAAAAUUCAAAUGAAUGCAUCUCUGGUCAGAGACAACCAGCUGCCAAAACAAGCCUAAAAAGGAAACAAACUGUUGGAUAAAAGCUUACGUGUCAGAGGAGUGAGAUGAGACUCAGGUCUGACUUUUACAAGAGAACAUGAUAGAAAUUUUGGGAGGACAGUUUAUGAUUUGUUUUGCAGUUUGACAAAGAACUGCUGCUUGUGGACUCUGAACUUAAAGGAACGAUCUGCAGCAGUUCCCCUCAAACCCGUCGUGUGUGGACGAGUCAUAAAAGCAUUUGCCUGGGAGAAUCUAACCUGUGGUAUAUUAUCCCAUGGGUCGUCUGGUCAAAGAGACUGAACACGAAACAGCAGCUUCUUAUACUAGAUGUUAUCCCAGAUGGGAAGUGACUCAUUGACCAGUCCUUAGAAGCAGUCACUUAUCUGUCUUGAGUUUUUGUUUGGAUCUUUUUGUCGAAAGGAUACAUUAUCAACAAACCGCUCAAAGUAAAUACAAAUGACUCAUACAUUCUGCCUGAUUGGUAAUCCAGGAAUGCCAAGCUGAAUAAUGAGCUUCCUCUGUUGACCGUCUGACAUAAUGGCGGCUCUUGUGGAUAAUUUUAGACAGCUGGAAUGUAAACUGAUCUCGAAUCAUGAUGUGAAGUACUUCCGUGUCUUUUUGA
Molecule: long non-coding RNA, 1061 nt
Organism: Solea senegalensis (Senegalese sole)
Lineage: Eukaryota; Metazoa; Chordata; Actinopteri; Pleuronectiformes; Soleidae
Exons: 2
Source: RefSeq, a predicted model, not a curated record